GGGGGCGCACUGGUUUCGACGGGGAUAUGGAAUCAGGAGUAGCGAGUCGUUGUCGCCGAACAACGUUAAAAGUGGCACAAACAAUAAUUGACAACAAUAAUUACGCAUUUGCAGCUUAGUUAAAGCUGUCGUUCUAUCUUUGUAGCCCACGGCUUAGAAUAGAACGUCAACCUAGUGGGGAACCGAGCCAAGUAAAGCUUUGAGCCUGGAACGGAAACUAUGAAGCUACUAAGGCCUAUAUCCCGUUAGUAGGAGAUAGGCUAAGGGAAUGUUAAAUUACUAACUGCACUCGGAGAAACUCUUGUGGAAGUGUUUUCGGACGUGGGUUCGAUUCCCACCGCCUCCACCA
This 349-nucleotide transfer-messenger RNA is filed under the name Tissierella creatinophila DSM 6911. It matches the Rfam family "transfer-messenger RNA". Rfam says of the family: Bacterial tmRNA, also known as 10Sa RNA or SsrA, is named for its dual tRNA and mRNA-like properties. Its role is to liberate the mRNA from a stalled ribosome. To accomplish this part of the tmRNA is used as a reading frame that ends in a translation stop signal. RNAcentral also lists the same sequence under 1 other name. The record is from Rfam by way of RNAcentral. Lineage: Bacteria; Bacillati; Bacillota; Tissierellia; Tissierellales; Tissierellaceae.